AGCGGCAGGCUUAAUACAUGCAGGUCGUGGGGCAGCAUGAGUGUAGCAAUACAUUUGAUGGCGACCGGCAAACGGGUGCGGAACACGUACACAACCUUCCUUUAAGUGGGGGAUAGCCCAGGGAAACUUGGAUUAAUACCCCGUAAUACUAUGAAGUGGCAUCACUUUAUAUUUAUAGCUCCGGCGCUUAAUGAUGGGUGUGCGGCUGAUUAGGUAGUUGGCGGGGUAACGGCCCACCAAGCCUGCGAUCAGUAACUGGUGUGAGAGCACGACCAGUCACACGGGCACUGAGACACGGGCCCGACUCCUACGGGAGGCAGCAGUAAGGAAUAUUGGUCAAUGGACGCAAGUCUGAACCAGCCAUGCCGCGUGGAGGAUGAAGGUCCUCUGGAUUGUAAACUUCUUUUAUUUGGGAAGAAACCCAUAGUUUCUACUGUGGUUGACGGUACCAGAUGAAUAAGCACCGGCUAACUCCGUGCCAGCAGCCGCGGUAAUACGGA
This 500-nucleotide ribosomal RNA is filed under the name uncultured Bacteroidota bacterium. RNAcentral's name for it is "bacterial SSU rRNA". It matches the Rfam family "Bacterial small subunit ribosomal RNA", at positions 39 to 529 of the family's 1533-position model. Lineage: Bacteria; Pseudomonadati; Bacteroidota. The record is from RNAcentral.